This 717-nucleotide ribosomal RNA is filed under the name uncultured bacterium. Its description in RNAcentral is "bacterial SSU rRNA". It matches the Rfam family "Bacterial small subunit ribosomal RNA", at positions 8 to 720 of the family's 1533-position model. The record is from RNAcentral.
AGAGUUUGAUCAUGGCUCAGGAUGAACGCUAGCGGCAGACUUAAUACAUGUGAGUCGAGGGGCAGCGGAUCCCUCCGGGGAUGCCGGCGACCGGCGAACGGGUGAGUAACACGUAUGGAACCUGCCCUUAACUGGGAAAUAGCUUUGAGAAAUCGAAGGUAAUGUCCCAUACCAUCUGAAGAAGGCAUCUUUUUCAGAUGAAAGCUCCGGCGGUUAAGGAUGGCCAUGCGGUCCAUUAGCUUGUUGGUGAGAUAACCGCUCACCGAGGCUGCGAUGGAUAGCUGAUCUGAGAGGAUGAUCAGCCACAUUGGCACUGAGACACGGGCCAAACUCCUACGGGAGGCAGCAGUAGGGAAUCUUGGUCAAUUGGCGAAAGCCAGAACCAGUCAUGCCGCGUGCAGGAUGAAGGCCCUACGGGUCGUAAACUGCUUUUAUUCGGGAAGAAAAAGUCUGUUUCCACAGACCUUGACGGUACCGAUUGAAUAAGGACCGGCCAACUCCGUGCCAGCAGCCGCGGUAAUACGGAGGGUCCAAGCGUUAUCCGGAUUCACUGGGUUUAAAGGGUGCGCAGGCGGCUAAGUAAGUCAGUGGUGAAAGCCUUCGGCUCAACCGGAGAAUUGCCAUUGAAACUACUUAGCUUGAGUGCAGUAGAGGUAGGCGGAAUGUAGCAUGUAGCGGUGAAAUGCAUAGAUAUGCUACAGAACACCGAUAGCGAAA